Molecule: unclassified non-coding RNA, 318 nt
Filed under: uncultured fungus
Lineage: Eukaryota; Fungi
Description: partial contains small subunit ribosomal RNA, internal transcribed spacer 1, and 5.8S ribosomal RNA
Rfam family: Eukaryotic small subunit ribosomal RNA (bases 1-73)
Source: RNAcentral
ACAAACUUGGUCAUUUAGAGGAAGUAAAAGUCGUAACAAGGUUUCCGUAGGUGAACCUGCGGAAGGAUCAUUAUUGAGUUUUAAAGUUCUAUAGUUAACUGUCUUGUGCAGUUGAUUGUAGUUCUUUUCUUAUCUCUUAUCCCUUUUGUUAUUAUUUCUUAGUUGCUUUGGCAGUUGUUUUUCAACUGCCAAGGGAUAUUUAUUCAAACUCUUUUGUUACCAAGAUAAUUGGAUAUGAUAGUCAGAAUAUAAUAGUUUUAAUAAUUAAAAACUUUCAACAAUGGAUCUCUUGGUUCUGGCAUCGAUGAAGAACGCAGC